AAAUAACUUUGACAUCACUGACAAUCUCCCCCCUUUUUGGGCAAAAUCACUGACACGAGCCGCGCCUCGUGCUGGCGGGGAUUUGGCCACGACACUCCGGACCUCCUACGGCUCCGCCCGCUCCAUGGCUCCCCUCCAAGCCCAAUGCCUCGAUAUUCGCUGGGGCAUGACGCUGCCCGAAGUUGCGAUAUACGGUCGGGUAUUUGUGGGUCGGCUCGGAUAAUGGGUAUUGGAGUAUCGGUAGUAGGGAGUCGGGUGGACUGGCAGCAGUCGGGUAGUUGGGAGUCUCUGGAGUCUCGGGGUAACGCUGCGCUGGAGUGCGCACCUUUGAACCGUGGCUAGUGAUGCCAGAGCCGUCGGACGGAGGGCAACCGGCAGUUCCAGUUCCAGUCCACUAUUGGCAUCGGCAAGUUUCUUGACAAUUUCCAGAUACUUUCCAAGUUGAAAUACCUAUAGCCUUGGCUGGGAAAUACCUAUAGUUUUUGGGCCAAACCCUGAAACCUAAAAAUCCCCCACAAUCGCAUGGCUGAGCAAAAAAACAAAAAAGCUGGUGGAGAAAUAUACAAACGGACAGUGGACAGGCGGACAGGCGGACAAGCGGACAGCGGACAGACGGACAAAAUGGACACAUGUAGCAUGGUCAUCGGAAUGGAAUCAAUGGACCCGACCCAGCACAUGGCAAUAAAAAGUGUCCCCCCUAGUUUUAAGUACUACGGAUAUAUAUAUCUAUAUGGGAUAUAUAUAUAUAUACCAUUGCUCUCUGUCGUCGUUGUGCGUUUUGUGGCUAAAAGCAAAAAAAAAUAAAAAAAAAAAACGAAGCGAAUCAGAAUCGAAACAGAAGCACAUUAAGCCAUGGCUAUAACUAUAAAAUAGACCAGCUUUGCAUACAUUCCCGGACAAUGCUUCAUUGGCCAAGUAUUGGUUGGAAUUGGACAAUUGGAAGAGUACACUUUGGUCUGGUUCUGGUUCUGGUUCCUCUCCUCUUUUUUUUUUAUUUUUGAUUCCACCGAUUUAUUUGCCAGAGAUGACCUUAUGGCGACCAUAAGUUUUGGUGCUGGAUUACCUGAAUCUCUCUUACCUGUAGAGUCCAACCACCCACCUUUGUCAUAAAUUUCAUUUGUAUUUUGUAUUUUAUUUUUCUGGGUGUAACCGUGUGCUGAAAGUGCAAUUAAAGAGUCGCGCGUCUAAUUAAUUGAAUGUAUCUUUAUGGCGAUGCACUAACUCUAUGGACUAUGGACACCGACCGCAGAAUUAAUUAUGAUUUGACUUUGGUGGGUUAAAGGAGCGUUUUUGUGGUGCGUUGCAGACUAACAAAUGGCUUAGGAUGCCUGGCUGGCUGGCUGGGUCAGGAUGUCUGCCAAGGACUGGGCCUGGUCCUGAGCAAGGAUGCUGCAGACAUAUUGUUGGACUUACAUUGGACGUGCUUUUUAAUUUGCCUUAUCUCGGCCAGGUCUCAGCUCCUCUUUUUCUGGCCCAGACUCUGGGGCGCACUUAAUUUAUACCUUACUCGGCCAUUGGGCAAUGGCUAAGGCUAAGGCGACUCGAGUCAAGUAAAUUAUUUUCGUCAGGUUAAUUGGAAUUGGCUCGCCCGGAGCCACGAACUUAUAUACAUAUACAUAUACUUAUAUUCUGCGUGAUUAUCUGCUGGUUUUGUGAUUAAAAGAAAAUCUGAAUCGCUAA
Drosophila ananassae is the source of this 1680-nucleotide long non-coding RNA. RefSeq lists it as uncharacterized. The record is from RefSeq and is a predicted model, not a curated record. The transcript has 3 exons. NCBI's taxonomy places the organism in Eukaryota, Metazoa, Arthropoda, Insecta, Diptera, Drosophilidae.